Molecule: long non-coding RNA, 2992 nt
Organism: Python bivittatus (Burmese python)
Lineage: Eukaryota; Metazoa; Chordata; Lepidosauria; Squamata; Pythonidae
Source: RefSeq, a predicted model, not a curated record
UUCUCACUGAAUGCAUUCUCAAUCCACCUGAUGCCAGCAUGCCUGCUGAUUGUAAAAAUCCAUUUGGAAAAACUGGGCUGAAUAGGUCUGCUCUUUGGAUUUAAUCCUAAGAGCUCUAAAUGGGAAGAAGGGCAGAAACCUGAUGGCUCCCGACUAGGAUCCAUUGCAGAGGCACAGCUCAUGGCUUCAGGAUUGAGAAGAACAAACUGAACUGAAUCAAGGGACGGACUGUGGACCUGCAGCAUUAGGUGGGGACACCACCCACCCAGCUCCAGUUAUAUCAGGGCUUGAAGGAAAAGAAGAUUGCACAAAGUUGAAAGCGUUCUUGGAGUGGCAAACAGCAAUCGAUGAAACAAGUUUGUCUCUCCCUGCUGGCUUAGCAUCUGAGAAGGCCCAAGUCAAGAAAGAGAGAAAGGGCUGGAUGGAGAGCAACGAGGAGAAGAAAAGCGCGCUCAGGGCCAAAACAAAGGGACCUUCUCUGUAAGGCGAUGGAAUCAACGCUUGCCUUCAGCGCUGGUAGAGCCAAAGACCCAAGCUGCGUGUGGCCAUGGAUUCAUCUCCUCCAUAAAUUUAUCCAAUUCACUUUUAAAUCUGAAGGGCCCCUUUCCCAACAGGAUUGCACCUACAAAGGCAGAACUUCUGAGUCUCUCUCCAGAUAGAAUAACUUCCAGUCUGUUUCUGGGAUCAAUUCAAAGGAUGGAUCAGCAUUUAACACGCGUGGGAGCUGUUUUGAACAUUAGAGGAAAGGCCUCCCUGGAAAAAUUAAAUCUAACCACUGCUCGCAGACAUUAUGAAUGAGACGGACACAAAAGGAUCUAAAGUAAUGGCACAUACAUGUUUAGAAUAAAGAAGAAGCCAGAAAGAGAUUUUACUGCUUCAAACAAAUAUGGCAAGCUAAAACGUUGACCGUGGAAAGUACCAGUUGUAGUGAAGUCAAAUCUACCCAAAUAUAACUCGCAAGUGACCCCCAAUUUCUUGCUUUUAUCAUUCAACGUAUGACAGAAUGUUCAGAUUCAAAGCACACCAAACCACACAAAGGCAUACACCUGCUUUUUAAGCCUUUUCGUAAACGGUAUUUUAAAUUCAAUUUAAUAAAUGAGAAUUACAGUAUACAUGCUUAUUUCUGGAUAAUCCCCUUGAAACAGUUUAUUUAUUUAUCUAUUUAUUUCUGAGAGGGUCGCUGUUCAGCGAUCAGGAUGAUUUCCAAAGUGAAACAUGGCAGAAGGUUUAGAUUGCUGCUGUUAACAAAAUAUAAUCAAGUCCCUUGAAUAUGGAGCCGAAGACUUCUUAGAAGAUAGCAUGCAAAACAAUCAAAAUAGUAAGAGCCUUCCUUUUUGCAACCAUCAGAGGAUGCAGUAAGUGACGAAGAAGGUAGUGCUCGAUCUAAUUAGCAAAACUAAAAUUGAGACUCAGUUGACUAAAUAAUUAUCGUUAUAAACAAAAUAGUCUUUGGGGCCAAAGAUAUCUUACACCUUUUUCCCCCCUAUUUUGAUUGGUGCUGCAGGGGGAAAAAAGGGUAUUUGUCCUUGCUGUUCCUUUAACUGCAGUGAUUUAACCCCACAGCCAGGGAAUAUUCCAGUGUAGCAAGCCAUUGUGACAUCACAGAAAGAAAAUUCCACGCCAUUCCAGAAUGUCUUAGAUACUGUAUUGGGGUCAGUGCAAUUUGUCCCCCAGAAGUACUGUUGCCAAGCCCUGUAUUAUUUUUUUCCCCAUAAAUAAAACAGUCCAAUUAAUUUUAAUAUUUUCCAGCCUAUGCAUCUAAGUCCAUCAGAAGGGAUGUCAUAGAAUGAAAAUAUUAAUGAGGUCUGUGCUAAUUUGCGGUUGAAAUAAGGCGGCUUCCAUUAUAAAUUGGAGAGCUUCUGUAUUAACCUCUAACGAUGGAGGAAAAUCAACCCGUUUCAACUGAUUACUUAAGCCAGCUCCAGUUACAUUUGCCCAACGAAUUUGAAUUCCAAUCAUUUUGCAUACUAUUUCCACCUAUCUAAUUGUCUGCUGGCCCUUCUUACUUAUUAUGCGAAAGUGCGGGCGCUGCUUCCCCCUCUUUUUGAAGCAUGAAGAAUGAAAUUAUUUUGUAUGCAAACAGUUAAAACUCUCCUGUGUAUUCCCAUUCUCUGUGUGUUGAUAAAUUCACUUACGAUGAGUGACAGUCGGAGGGUUUUGGAGGUCAGAUUGGUCACUAUUUCCGUGACACUGAUGGAAAUGAUAAACUAAAUGCCAGAAGUGUCCUGGGUGCAUCAUAUGAUGAAAUGUGUGAAAUGUCAGGGUCUAGCCAGGAUCUAUUAAUAACUAAAUAUGAUUGUGUGUAAUGAGCAGAUAUUUUCAUGUUGAUUGAAGUAUGAUUCCUUUUGAUCCUCCAGAUGUUGCUGCUUAGAAAUUCAUACUGCUCUUUGGCUGCUAAAUGCAUAAUGACCUUUUAAAACCUUUUUAACUUAAAAAAAAAAAAACCCUUAGUAUUUUAAAUGUGGAAGUCAAACUGGUGAGCUGCUUCUUUCAUGCAGGUUUAAAGUUUCUUUUUCUUUUCUUCCAUCCUUUUUCUUUUUACCUUCUGAUCUUUUUUUUUUUCCUGGUCCUUUUUAUCCACCCUGUCCUCUCACCAACUAUUGUGGGAAAAAUGGAUCACAUAUAGGAGGAAGGGGAAGAAAAGCAAUAGUUAACUUGCAUGUGUUUUGAUGAUUGAUUUAUUAAGUGUUAAUUUUUAAUGUUCCCCACAUCCAUAAGCCUUUAGACCUGAAAACAGACUGGGUCCCUUGAACUUAAAUAACCAGCAGGACAAACCUGAUCAACUUAGUAUAUGUAUAAAAGCAGUGUGCUCCUUCUGUGACUUUUUCAGAUGAACUCUUUUAUUAAUAUUUUCUGGACUUUUGACCAACAAACUAUGAUUCUCCCCUGGUGCAUUAUCUAUUUCACAGUUGCAUAACUUUUGGGCGGCCAAGGAUCACAUUUAGCUUCUGAAUAGUUUGUCAGGAUUGUGCUCUAAAAAGCAGGACAAAAA